RNAcentral lists this transfer RNA (76 nucleotides) under Clostridiales bacterium. RNAcentral describes it as "tRNA-Met". It matches the Rfam family "tRNA". Rfam says of the family: Transfer RNA (tRNA) molecules are approximately 80 nucleotides in length. Their secondary structure includes four short double-helical elements and three loops (D, anti-codon, and T loops). Further hydrogen bonds mediate the characteristic L-shaped molecular structure. tRNAs have two regions of fundamental functional importance: the anti-codon, which is responsible for specific mRNA codon recognition, and the 3' end, to which the tRNAs corresponding amino acid is attached (by aminoacyl-tRNA synthetases). tRNAs cope with the degeneracy of the genetic code in two manners: having more than one tRNA (with a specific anti-codon) for a particular amino acid; and 'wobble' base-pairing, i.e. permitting non-standard base-pairing at the 3rd anti-codon position. Lineage: Bacteria; Bacillati; Bacillota; Clostridia; Eubacteriales. The record is from RNAcentral.
CGCGGGGUAGAGCAGUGGUAGCUCGUCGGGCUCAUAACCCGGAGGUCAUGCGGUUCAAAUCCCAUCCCCGCAACCA